CUCUAUUGAGUCUGGCAACCCCACUUGCACAUAGCCAGGAAAGUGGAGUUAGCUUUGGGGAAGCUAGAGGAUGAAGUAAUCAAGGUGUUAGAGGCAAAGCUACUGGAGCUAUCAAAGCAGCAUUGUUGCUAGAAAGAAAAAUGUGACCAUUGUGCUUAGACAUGAUGGAGAACAAGAAAAACUGGAUAUUUAAAAGAGACAAGCUAGGGCAAAGCAGAACUAUGUGACAUGUGACUCAAGAGUGUCAAUCAUCUGCUCUUGGGUUGUCACCUGCUUUUGGGGGAAGAAUUGUGACUCGAUAGUAGAGCACCUGUUUUGCAUGUAGAAACUCCCAGCUUCAAUCCUUGGCAUCUCCAGGUAGGACUGGAAGAGACUCCUGACUGAAUUCCUGGAGAGCUGCCAA
Non-coding RNA from Zootoca vivipara (common lizard), 403 nucleotides. The record is from RefSeq and is a predicted model, not a curated record. Lineage: Eukaryota; Metazoa; Chordata; Lepidosauria; Squamata; Lacertidae.